RNAcentral lists this unclassified non-coding RNA (224 nucleotides) under Hevea brasiliensis (rubber tree). Lineage: Eukaryota; Viridiplantae; Streptophyta; Magnoliopsida; Malpighiales; Euphorbiaceae. The record is from RNAcentral.
UCUGAUGCUGUGCAGCACUUUGUGGGUGCUCAAACAUUUGUCUAGGCCAUGCAUUGUCUGAAUGCAUAAAUGUUAGAACCUUUUGACCAUUGUCAAUUGAUGUCUUCUGCUGAGAGUUGUAAUUCUCAAUGGACUCAUGAGAACCACCAUGGCAAAUAUCCUCUCUCUGUUCAACUGAUAACUGAAUUCCUGGCAGCUGGAAGCCAGGGAAGCUAGAGCUCAUG